GCCGAUGUGGCGAAAUGGUAAACGCAGCGGACUUAAAAUCCGCCGGGUGGCGACACCCUUGCCGGUUCGAGUCCGGCCAUCGGCACCA
RNAcentral lists this transfer RNA (88 nucleotides) under Verrucomicrobiaceae bacterium. RNAcentral's name for it is "tRNA-Leu". It matches the Rfam family "tRNA". Rfam says of the family: Transfer RNA (tRNA) molecules are approximately 80 nucleotides in length. Their secondary structure includes four short double-helical elements and three loops (D, anti-codon, and T loops). RNAcentral also lists the same sequence under 1 other name. Lineage: Bacteria; Pseudomonadati; Verrucomicrobiota; Verrucomicrobiia; Verrucomicrobiales; Verrucomicrobiaceae. The record is from RNAcentral.